This 479-nucleotide ribosomal RNA is filed under the name uncultured bacterium. RNAcentral's name for it is "partial 16S ribosomal RNA". It matches the Rfam family "Bacterial small subunit ribosomal RNA", at positions 27 to 507 of the family's 1533-position model. The record is from RNAcentral.
GGAUGAACGCUGGCGGCGUGCUUAACCCAUGCAAGUCGAACGAGAAAUGUAGACGGCAACCUUCGGGCGGAAGCCUUCAUUUCGAGUGGCGGACGGGUGAGUAACGCGUGGGUAACCUGCCUCAUACAGGGGGAUAACAGUUGGAAACGACUGUUAAUACCGCAUAAGACCACAGCAUCGCAUGAUGCGGGGGUAAAAACUCCGGUGGUAUGAGAUGGACCCGCGUUCGAUUAGCCAGUUGGCGGGGUAACGGCCCACCAAAGCGACGAUCGAUAGCCGAUCUGAGAGGAUGACCGGCCACAUUGGGACUGAGACACGGCCCAAACUCCUACGGGAGGCAGCAGUGGGGAAUAUUGCACAAUGGGGGAAACCCUGAUGCAGCGACGCCGCGUGAGUGAAGAAGUACUUCGGUAUGUAAAGCUCUAUCAGCAGGGAAGAAAAUGACGGUACCUGAGUAAGAAGCCCCGGCUAACUACGUG